GCCGUUGUGGUGUAGUGGUCAGCACGCUAGACACGCAUUGGAAAGGUCCGUGGUUCAAGUCCCGGCGAGGGCA
RNAcentral lists this transfer RNA (73 nucleotides) under Stegodyphus mimosarum. It matches the Rfam family "tRNA". From Rfam's summary of the family: Transfer RNA (tRNA) molecules are approximately 80 nucleotides in length. The record is from Rfam by way of RNAcentral. Lineage: Eukaryota; Metazoa; Arthropoda; Arachnida; Araneae; Eresidae.